GAUGAACGCUGGCGGCGUGCCUAAUACAUGCAAGUCGAGCGAACGGACGAGAAGGUUGCUUCUCUGAUGUUAGCGGCGGACGGGUGAGUAAAACGUGGAGAACCUACCUAUAAGACUGGGAUAACUUCGGGAAACCGUAGCUAAUACCGGAUAAUAUUUUGAACCGCAUGGUUCAAAAGUGAAAGACGGUCUUGCUGUCACUUAUAGAUGGAUCCGCGCUGCAUUAGCUAGUUGGUAAGGUAACGGCUUACCAAGGCAACGAUGCAUAGCCGACCUGAGAGGGUGAUCGGCCACACUGGAACUGAGACACGGUCCAGACUCCUACGGGAGGCAGCAGUAGGGAAUCUUCCGCAAUGGGCGAAAGCCUGACGGAGCCACGCCGCGUGAGUGAUGAAGGUCUUCGGAUCGUAAAACUCUGUUAUUAGGGAAGAACAUAUGUGUAAGUAACUGUGCACAUCUUGACGGUACCUAAUCAGAAAGCCACGGCUAACUACGUG
Molecule: ribosomal RNA, 497 nt
Filed under: uncultured bacterium
Lineage: Bacteria
Description: partial 16S ribosomal RNA
Rfam family: Bacterial small subunit ribosomal RNA
Source: RNAcentral